GCCCCCGUAGUUUAACGGAUAAAACGAUGGAUUCCGGUUCCAUUGAUAGGCGUUCGAUUCGCCUCGGGGGUA
RNAcentral lists this transfer RNA (72 nucleotides) under Bacteroidales bacterium. RNAcentral's name for it is "tRNA-Arg". It matches the Rfam family "tRNA". From Rfam's summary of the family: Transfer RNA (tRNA) molecules are approximately 80 nucleotides in length. Their secondary structure includes four short double-helical elements and three loops (D, anti-codon, and T loops). Lineage: Bacteria; Pseudomonadati; Bacteroidota; Bacteroidia; Bacteroidales. The record is from RNAcentral. RNAcentral also lists the same sequence under 1 other name.